GCGAGCGACGCUCCCAUGCACUCGUUUUGGUGUGAACCGCUGCGGUGUCAAAUCGUCUGUAGACGACUUAGGUACCUGUCGUGGUGUCGUAAUUAGUAGAGCAGCCACCACACUGCGAUCUAUUGAGGCUUAGCCAUUGACCGGGAGGUUUGU
This 153-nucleotide non-coding RNA is filed under the name Ixodes scapularis (black-legged tick). Its description in RNAcentral is "Eukaryotic large subunit ribosomal RNA". It matches the Rfam family "Eukaryotic large subunit ribosomal RNA", at positions 3249 to 3401 of the family's 3401-position model. The record is from Rfam by way of RNAcentral. Lineage: Eukaryota; Metazoa; Arthropoda; Arachnida; Ixodida; Ixodidae.